Molecule: ribosomal RNA, 1481 nt
Filed under: uncultured Bordetella sp.
Lineage: Bacteria; Pseudomonadati; Pseudomonadota; Betaproteobacteria; Burkholderiales; Alcaligenaceae
Description: partial 16S-23S ribosomal RNA intergenic spacer
Rfam family: Bacterial small subunit ribosomal RNA
Source: RNAcentral
GGUUGAUUAUGGCUCAGAUUGAACGCUGGCGGGAUGCUUUACACAUGCAAGUCGAACGGCAGCACGGACUUCGGUCUGGUGGCGAGUGGCGAACGGGUGAGUAAUGUAUCGGAACGUGCCUAGUAGCGGGGGAUAACUACGCGAAAGCGUAGCUAAUACCGCAUACGCCCUUCGGGGAAAGCGGGGGGACCUUCGGGCCUCGCACUAUUAGAGCGGCCGAUAUCGGAUUAGCUAGUUGGUGGGGUAACGGCUCACCAAGGCGACGAUCCGUAGCUGGUUUGAGAGGACGACCAGCCACACUGGGACUGAGACACGGCCCAGACUCCUACGGGAGGCAGCAGUGGGGAAUUUUGGACAAUGGAAACCCCUGAUCCAGCCAUCUCCCGCGUGUGCGAUGAAGGCCUUCGGGUUGUAAAGCACUUUUGGCAGAAGAAACGGCCUGGGAUAAUACCCCGUGCAACUGACAGUACCUGCAGAAUAAGCACCGGCUAACUACGUGCCGGCAGCCGCGGUAAUACGUAGGGUGCAGCGUUAAUCGGAAUUACUGGGCGUAAAGCGUGCGCAGGCGGUUCGGAAAAGAAAGAUGUGAAAUCCCAGAGCUUAACUUUGGAACUGCAUUUUUAACUACCGAGCUAGAGUGUGUCGAAGGGAGGUGGAAUUCCGCGUGUAGCGGUGAAAUGCGCGUAGAUAUGCGGAGGAACACCGAUGGCGAAGGCAACCUCCUGGAUAACACUGACGCUCAUGCACGAAAGCGUGGGGAGCAAACAGGAUUGAAUGCCCUGGUAGUCCACGCCUAAACGAUCAUCAGCCUGAUGACCCGGGGCCUUCGGGCCUUGGUAGCGCAACCUAACGUGAAGUUGACAACGCAAAUUACAGUCGCAAGAUUAAAACUCAAAGGAAUUGACGGGGACCCGCACAAGCGAUGGAUGAUGGAUUAAUUCGAUGCAACGCGAAAACCUUUACCUACCCUUGACAUGUCUGGAAUCCCGAAGGGUUGCAGGAGUGCUCGCAGAGAACCGGAACACAGGUGCUGCAUGGCUGUCGUCAGCUCGUGUCGUGAGAUGUUGGGUUAGUCACAACGAGCGCAACCCUUGUCAUUAGUUGCUACGAAGAGGGCAUACUCUAAUGAGACUGCCGGUGACAAACCGGAGGAAGGUGGGGAUGACGUCAAGUCCUCAUGGCCCUUAUGGGUAGGGCUUCACACGUCAUACAAUGGUCGGGACAGAGGGUCGCCAACCCGCGAGGGGGAGCCAAUCCCAGAAACCCGAUCGUAGUCCGGAUCGCAGUCUGCAACUCGACUGCGUGAAGUCGGAAUCGCUAGUAAUCGCGGAUCAGCAUGUCGCGGUGAAUACGUUCCCGGGUCUUGUACACACCGCCGUCACACCAUGGGAGUGGGUUUUACCAGAGUAGUUAGCCUAACCGUAAGGAGGGCGAUUACCACGGUAGGAUUCAUGACUAGGAGUGAAGUCGUAACAAGGUAA